CUCGGCGACUCUAUCGCAGGGGUCACACCUCUUCCCAUUCCGAACAGAGCAGUUAAGACCUGUGGAGCUGAUGGUACUGCGUGCGUAGGUGCGUGGGAGAGUAAGUCGUUGCCGGGG
Molecule: ribosomal RNA, 117 nt
Filed under: Ignavibacteria bacterium
Lineage: Bacteria; Pseudomonadati; Ignavibacteriota; Ignavibacteria
Source: RNAcentral